This 253-nucleotide ribosomal RNA is filed under the name uncultured bacterium. RNAcentral's name for it is "partial 16S ribosomal RNA". It matches the Rfam family "Bacterial small subunit ribosomal RNA", at positions 524 to 776 of the family's 1533-position model. The record is from RNAcentral.
UACAGAGGGGGCAAGCGUUGUUCGGAAUUACUGGGCGUAAAGGGCGCGUAGGCGGCCUGUUAAGUCGAACGUGAAAUCCCCGGGCUCAACCCGGGAACUGCGUCCGAUACUGGCAGGCUUGAAUCCGGGAGAGGGAUGCGGAAUUCCAGGUGUAGCGGUGAAAUGCGUAGAUAUCUGGAGGAACACCGGUGGCGAAGGCGGCAUCCUGGACCGGCAUUGACGCUGAGGCGCGAAAGCCAGGGGAGCAAGCGGG